CCCUUAGAUGUUCUGGGCCGCACUCGUGCUACACUGAGUGGAUCAGCGGGUCAGGUUGCGCGAAAGCGUUUCCUAAUCUUUAAAUCCGCUCGUGAUGGGGAUUGACGGUUGCAAUUUUCUGUCAUGAACGAGGAAUACCUUGUAAGCGCGGGUCAUCAUCCCGCGCUGAAUACGUCCCUGCCCUUUGUACACACCGCCCGUCGCUCCUACCGAUUGAGUGGUCCGGUGAGGCUUUGGGAUCUGAGCGGAAAGAGCGUUUCGCUGUUUCUGCUCGGAAAACUCAGUCGAACCUUAUCAUUUAGAGGAAGGAGAAGUCGUAACA
RNAcentral lists this ribosomal RNA (322 nucleotides) under uncultured eukaryote. RNAcentral's name for it is "partial 18S ribosomal RNA". It matches the Rfam family "Eukaryotic small subunit ribosomal RNA", at positions 1470 to 1796 of the family's 1831-position model. The record is from RNAcentral.